RNAcentral lists this ribosomal RNA (403 nucleotides) under uncultured bacterium. Its description in RNAcentral is "partial 16S ribosomal RNA". It matches the Rfam family "Bacterial small subunit ribosomal RNA", at positions 30 to 526 of the family's 1533-position model. The record is from RNAcentral.
AUUGAACGCUGGCGGCAGGCCUAACACAUGCAAGUCGAGCGAGAGGCGGACGGGUGAGUAAUGUAUGGGGACUGCCCGAUAGAGGGGGGUAACUACUGGAAACGGUGGAUAAUACAGCAUAUUGUCGGAUAACCCAUAUGGGAUUAGCUAGUAGGUAAGGUAAUGGCUUACCUAGGCGACGAUCCCUAGCUGGUCUGAGAGGAUGAUCAGCCACACUGGGACGGAGACACGGCCCAGACUCCUACGGAGGCAGCAGUGGGGAAUAUUGCACAAUGGGCGCAAGCCUGAUGCAGCCAUGCCGCGUGUAUGAAGAAGGCCCUAGGGUUGUAAAGUACUUUCAGUCGGGAGGCGUUACCGACAGAAGAAGCACCGGCUAACUCCGUGCCAGCAGCCGCGGUAAUUC